This 304-nucleotide ribosomal RNA is filed under the name uncultured eukaryote. RNAcentral's name for it is "partial 18S ribosomal RNA". It matches the Rfam family "Eukaryotic small subunit ribosomal RNA", at positions 1470 to 1796 of the family's 1831-position model. The record is from RNAcentral.
CCCUUAGAUGUCCUGGGCCGCACGCGUGCUACAAUGACACAUUCAACGAGUGUUUCCUGAUCCGAAAGGAUUCGGGUAAUCUUUUUAGUGUGUGUCGUGUUAGGGAUAGAUCUUUGUAAUUAUGGAUCUUGAACGAGGAAUUCCUAGUAAGCGCAAGUCAUCAGCUUGUGCUGAUUUCGUCCCUGCAAAAUGUACACACCGCCCGUCGCUAUUGCCGAUUGAGUGCUCAGGUGAACCUUCUUGAUUGCUGCAAAGUGAAAAAUUAAGUAAACCUUAGCACUUAGAGGGAAUAAAAGUCGUAACA